CAACUACUCCCUCCGUUUUAAAUUACUUAUCGCUCAAAUGGAUGUAUCUAGCACUAAAAUAGUGUUAGAUUCAUCCACUUGAGCGACAAGUAAUUCAGAAUGAAGGGAGUAGUAG
Triticum urartu is the source of this 115-nucleotide non-coding RNA. Lineage: Eukaryota; Viridiplantae; Streptophyta; Magnoliopsida; Poales; Poaceae. The record is from Rfam.